UACCUAGUGGCAGACGGGUGGAGUAACACGUGGUCAACCUUCCUUUAGUGGGGAUAACUAGCCGAAAGGUUAGCUAAUACCGCAUACCAUCUAAACCCGGCAUCGGGAGUAGAUAAAAGGAGCAAUCCGCUUAAGGACGGGACCGCGUCCCAUUAGUUAGUUGGUGGGGUAACGGCCUACCAAGACUCCGAUGGGUAGCUGGUUUGAGAGAGCGACCAGCCACACUGGGACUGAGAAACGGCCCAG
Molecule: ribosomal RNA, 246 nt
Filed under: uncultured bacterium
Lineage: Bacteria
Description: partial 16S ribosomal RNA
Rfam family: Bacterial small subunit ribosomal RNA
Source: RNAcentral